Molecule: ribosomal RNA, 228 nt
Filed under: uncultured bacterium
Lineage: Bacteria
Description: partial 16S ribosomal RNA
Rfam family: Bacterial small subunit ribosomal RNA
Source: RNAcentral
UCCGUAGGCGGGUAAUUAAGUCAGAGGUGAAAUCCCACAGCUUAACUGUGGAACUGCCUUAGAUACUGGUUAUCUUGAGUUUUAGUGAAGUAGAUGGAAUGUGUAGUGUAGCGGUGAAAUGCAUAGAUAUUACACAGAAUACCGAUUGCGAAGGCAGUCUACUAACUAACAACUGACGCUAAUGGACGAAAGCGUGGGGAGCGAACAGGAUUAGAUACCCUGGUAGUC